UACGGAGGGUGCAAGCGUUAUCCGGAUUUAUUGGGUUUAAAGGGUGCGCAGGCGGGUUAUUAAGUCAGUGGUGAAAUCCUUCAGCUUAACUGGAGAACUGCCAUUGAUACUGGUAACCUUGAGUACAGAUGAAGUGGGCGGAAUAAGUCAUGUAGCGGUGAAAUGCAUAGAUAUGACUUAGAACACCGAUUGCGAAGGCAGCUCACUAAACUGUAACUGACGCUGAGGCACGAAAGCGUGGGGAGCGAACAGG
RNAcentral lists this ribosomal RNA (253 nucleotides) under uncultured bacterium. Its description in RNAcentral is "partial 16S ribosomal RNA". It matches the Rfam family "Bacterial small subunit ribosomal RNA", at positions 524 to 776 of the family's 1533-position model. The record is from RNAcentral.